GCAUUGGUAGUUCAGUGGUAGAAUUCUUGUCUCCCACACUAGUGACCUGGGUUAAAUUCCCAGCCAGUGUC
This is a non-coding RNA of Protopterus annectens (West African lungfish), 71 nucleotides long. Lineage: Eukaryota; Metazoa; Chordata; Ceratodontiformes; Protopteridae. The record is from the annotation of a RefSeq genome assembly.